UACGUAGGGUGCAGGCGUUAAUCGGAAUUACUGGGCGUAAAGCGUGCGCAGGCGGCUCCUUAAGUCAGAUGUGAAAUCCCCGGGCUUAACCUGGGAACUGCGUUUGAAACUGAGGAGCUCGAGUGUGGAAGAGGGGGGUGGAAUUCCAGGUGUAGCAGUGAAAUGCGUAGAGAUCUGGAGGAACACCGAUGGCGAAGGCAGCCCCCUGGGCUAACACUGACGCUCAUGCACGAAAGCGUGGGGAGCAAAC
RNAcentral lists this ribosomal RNA (250 nucleotides) under uncultured bacterium. RNAcentral's name for it is "partial 16S ribosomal RNA". It matches the Rfam family "Bacterial small subunit ribosomal RNA", at positions 524 to 773 of the family's 1533-position model. The record is from RNAcentral.